AAGAGAAGCUUUCUCUCCAUGCUCCUUUUUAGGGAAUUGCCUGGCACAGACGCCAGGGGGACAGGCCAUCGGUGAGGAGGCUAGGUCCUAAGCUGCUCUAAGCCCAUUCCUGCACGGAGGAGGGACAGAGCCAGCCAUGGCAGAGGAGGUAUGGGUGGGCACCUGGAGGCCCCAUCGUCCCCGGGGGCCCAUCAUGGCCCUCUACACCAGUCCUGGACCCAAGUACCUGAUUCCACCUACCACGGGUAAGAUUGCCUAAGGCCGGGCGGGCUCGUUAGGGACAGGGGAAGAAGCCAGGACUGGUGUGGCCUGGGAUGGAACUCUCGUCAGAGAGAAGGAUGCCUGGCUCCAGCAGCCCUGAGCCCCUGUGCCCACAGGCUUUGUGAAGCACACACCCACCAAGCUUCGAGCACCGGCCUACAGCUUCCGUGGGGCCCCCAUGCUCUUGGCGGAGAAUUGCUCCCCAGGGCCUCGCUACAGUGUGAACCCCAAGAUCCUGAGGACUGGCAAGGACCUUGGCCCUGCCUACUCCAUCCUGGGGCGCUACCAUACAAAGACCUUGCUGACCCCCGGCCCGGGUGAGUGACCCCUACCUUCUGCUCCAGGCUCUAAUACGCAUGUCCAGCUAUGUGAAGGCCAGAUAGCCUCACUUCUCCUGCUUCUCAGACACUGUCAGGCCUGAACAGCAGAGCCUGAAGCCCACCAAUCCUACUCUAC
This 717-nucleotide long non-coding RNA is filed under the name Rattus norvegicus (Norway rat). Its description in RNAcentral is "long non-coding RNA NONRATT001334". The record is from RNAcentral. Lineage: Eukaryota; Metazoa; Chordata; Mammalia; Rodentia; Muridae.